RNAcentral lists this ribosomal RNA (497 nucleotides) under uncultured bacterium. RNAcentral describes it as "partial 16S ribosomal RNA". It matches the Rfam family "Bacterial small subunit ribosomal RNA", at positions 28 to 507 of the family's 1533-position model. The record is from RNAcentral.
GAUGAACGCUGGCGGCGUGCCUAAUACAUGCAAGUCGAGCGAACGGACGAGAAGCUUGCUUCUCUGAUGUUAGCGGCGGACGGGUGAGUAACACGUGGAUAACCUACCUAUAAGACUGGGAUAACUUCGGGAAACCGGAGCUAAUACCGGAUAAUAUUUUGAACCGCAUGGUUCAAAAGUGAAAGACGGUCUUGCUGUCACUUAUAGAUGGAUCCGCGCUGCAUUAGCUAGUUGGUAAGGUAACGGCUUACCAAGGCAACGAUGCAUAGCCGACCUGAGAGGGUGAUCGGCCACACGGGAGCUGAGACACGGUCCAGACUCCUAAGGGAGGCAGCAGUAGGGAAUCUGCCGCAAUGGGCGAAAGCCUGACGGAGCAACGCCGCGUGAGUGAUGAAGGUCUUCGGAUCGUAAAACUCUGUUAUUAGGGAAGAACAUAUGUGUAAGUAACUGUGCACAUCUUGACGGUACCUAAUCAGAAAGCCACGGCUAACUACGUG